UACAGAGGGUGCUAGCGUUGUUCGGAAUCAUUGGGCGUAAAGGGCGUGUAGGCGGUUUGUUAAGUCAUGUGUGAAAUCCCUCGGCUCAACCGGGGAACGACGCAUGAAACUGGCAAGCUAGAGUACCAAAGAGGGGGGUGGAAUUCCCGGUGUAGCGGUGAAAUGCGCAGAUAUCAGGAGGAACACCAAUGGCGAAGGCAGCUCGCUGGGACGGUACUGACGCUGAGACGCGAAAGCGUGGGGAGCAAACAGG
This 253-nucleotide ribosomal RNA is filed under the name uncultured bacterium. RNAcentral's name for it is "partial 16S ribosomal RNA". It matches the Rfam family "Bacterial small subunit ribosomal RNA", at positions 524 to 776 of the family's 1533-position model. The record is from RNAcentral.